This 208-nucleotide long non-coding RNA is filed under the name Homo sapiens (human). RNAcentral's name for it is "HSALNT0126991". Lineage: Eukaryota; Metazoa; Chordata; Mammalia; Primates; Hominidae. The record is from RNAcentral.
CAAAGAGAAGAAAAGCAACUCGGAGAUAAGAAACUCCACACCCUUUUGAGGAGAGAACUUGACAUCUGAAUUUUCAUGUUUGUGUUCUUUGAACAAACAUCAUUAAAGCAUACCAAAUCUACACCCAGUAAAAGUUUUGGAUGAAGACAGACAAAAAUGUGAAUGGACUACAAUGGAAGAUGCACAGACAUAUAUUAACCAGGUACAG